Molecule: ribosomal RNA, 293 nt
Filed under: uncultured eukaryote
Lineage: Eukaryota
Description: partial 18S ribosomal RNA
Rfam family: Eukaryotic small subunit ribosomal RNA
Source: RNAcentral
CCCUUAGAUGUUUUGGGCUGCACGCGCGCUACAAUGACAAUCAGAAUAAGUUUCAUUGCUGAAAUGCAUUAAGAAUCAUCAAUAAUAUGUCGUGAGUGGGAUAGUUCAUUGCAAUAUUGGACUUGAACAAGGAAUCCCUUGUAUGUAUUGCCGAGAAUGCAAUACAGAAUACGUCCCUGCCGUUUGUACACACCGCCCGUCGUUUCUUCCGACUGGUAUCCAUUGUGAAUAACAAGGAGAGAAUUUCGAAUUGUCGUGAAUGCUGGGUGCUGGAGGAAGAAAAAGUCGUAACA